RNAcentral lists this ribosomal RNA (396 nucleotides) under uncultured bacterium. RNAcentral describes it as "partial 16S ribosomal RNA". It matches the Rfam family "Bacterial small subunit ribosomal RNA", at positions 523 to 918 of the family's 1533-position model. The record is from RNAcentral.
AUACGUAGGUGGCGAGCGUUAUCCGGAUUUACUGGGUGUAAAGGGCGCGUAGGCGGGGGUGCAAGUCAGAUGUGAAAUCUAUGGGCUCAACUCAUAGACUGCAUUUGAAACUGUACUUCUUGAGUACUGGAGAGGUAGACGGAAUUCCUUGUGUAGCGGUGAAAUGCGUAGAUAUAAGGAAGAACACCAGUGGCGAAGGCGGUCUACUGGACAGCAACUGACGCUGAGGCGCGAAAGCGUUGGGAGCAAACAGGAUUAGAUACCCUGGUAGUCCACGCUGUAAACGAUGAAUACUAGGUGUGGGGGGACUGACCCCUUCCGUGCCGCAGUUAACACAAUAAGUAUUCCACCUGGGGAGUACGGCCGCAAGGUUGAAACUUAAAGGAAUUGACGGGG